AGAGUUUGAUCCUGGCUCAGGAUGAACGCUAGCGGCAGGCCUAAUACAUGCAAGUCGAACGGUGUCUUCGGACAUAGUGGCGCACGGGUGCGUAACACGUAUGCAACCUACCUUACAUUGGGGGAUAGCCUUUCGAAAGGGAGAUUAAUACCGCAUAAGACAGUAGCUGGGCAUCCAGCAGCUGUUAAAGAUUUAUCGAUGUAAGCUGGGCAUGCGUCCAAUUAGCUAGUUGGUGAGGUAAUGGCUCACCAAGGCUAUGAUUGGUAGGGGAACUGAGAGGUCAAUCCCCCACACUGGCACUGAGAUACGGGCCAGACUCCUACGGGAGGCAGCAGUAGGGAAUAUUGGGCAAUGGACGCAAGUCUGACCCAGCCAUGCCGCGUGCAGGAUGAAGGCGUUAUGCGUUGUAAACUGCUUUUAUACAGGAAGAAACGACUCUUGCGAGAGGCAUUGACGGUACUGUAUGAAUAAGCACCGGCUAACUCCGUGCCAGCAGCCGCGGUAAUACGGAGGGUGCAAGCGUUGUCCGGAUUUAUUGGGUUUAAAGGGUGCGCAGGUGGUUUAUUAAGUCAGUGGUGAAAGACGGUCGCUCAACGAUUGCAGUGCCAUUGAAACUGGUAGACUUGAGUAAAGUAGAGGUGGGCGGAAUUGAUAGUGUAGCGGUGAAAUGCAUAGAUAUUAUCAAGAACUCCAAUUGCGUAGGCAGCUCACUUGGCUUUUACUGACACUCAUGCACGAAAGUGUGGGUAUCAAACAGGAUUAGAUACCCUGGUAGUCCACACUGUAAACGAUGAUAACUA
Molecule: ribosomal RNA, 800 nt
Filed under: uncultured bacterium
Lineage: Bacteria
Description: bacterial SSU rRNA
Rfam family: Bacterial small subunit ribosomal RNA
Source: RNAcentral